Long non-coding RNA from Zingiber officinale, 325 nucleotides. RefSeq lists it as uncharacterized. The transcript is spliced from 3 exons. The record is from RefSeq and is a predicted model, not a curated record. Lineage: Eukaryota; Viridiplantae; Streptophyta; Magnoliopsida; Zingiberales; Zingiberaceae.
UAUUCUCCAUGUCUUUCCGACUUGCUUUCUUCUUCUCCUCUUAUCUCGCCGACUCCUCUGCAUACUUAUUCUCGUUCGCGAACGCUUUUUCGCUGACUUUCUGCUAUUAUCUCGCCGAUUGUAUCUCACCGGCUUGGUCAAUCUCGCCGACUUCGUCUGUUGCUCUCUCUCAAAAGGAUGUCAAAUAGAGGGACAAAAGAUAUUAGUUCUAGUAAAGGAAGAUCAAGGGGGAGAGGUCGAAGUAGAUGGCAAUCUCUUAGAAUACAAGAUGAGCAACAUGAUACAAUGCCUGAACUUUACAACAUACCAAAUGAAGUAUAGGUAA